Sus scrofa (pig) is the source of this 1420-nucleotide long non-coding RNA. RefSeq lists it as uncharacterized. The record is from RefSeq and is a predicted model, not a curated record. NCBI's taxonomy places the organism in Eukaryota, Metazoa, Chordata, Mammalia, Artiodactyla, Suidae.
GGGCUGGGCCGAGGGCUGGGGACCGACGCCAGGGCGGCGGAAGGCGCGGACUGGCGCUGCGGCGUAGGAGGAGCGCUCCUGGGGGCAGCUGUUCCUGGACAGCUUCACCUGCCCCAGUUCUCCCAUCAUGGUAAACAGCACUUCAGUUCACUCCCAUUCCAGGGUUUGUGGCUCCCUCUCCUGAGCUUCCCAACUCACAGCUGUGGUGAUGGCCCAUACCCAGGACUGCCUGCUUUGCGAGGAGAGGAGAUCACAGGUGGCUCCUGGACACAGCAGGUACCUUGGGUGGGGCAGCCUCUGACUGAGCAUCCAGGGGCCCCACAGUCCCAUCUCACUUGCCUCUAGGUCAGAAGGAUGAGCUGGGGAAAGCAGGGGGGAAGGAUCAUGGUGGAGGCAGCCCCCUUAAAAAAGAAAAUGUUUCCCUGGGACCCAGUCCAGCCCCCUCCGGAGUGCCUGUUGCCAGGGAAGAACCCUGCUCUCCUCAGCCCUCCCCCAGGGAACUGUUCUGUCUGUCCUCCACCUCCCACCCCAGAGAACACCAGGGACUCGUGACUCCAGAACCAAGGCCAUGCCUAGCUGCCUGGACUUCAGGGCCUCCUGCCAGCCAAGGGAGGACUGCACAUCCACUGCCUGACAACCCCCUGCCCUCUCCCAACCUGGCAGAGCAGCGGUGUGGCAGGAAGCAAGAGACCAGCAGCCACUGUAUUGCUGGGUAUCAGCUAGGGGUGAUCAUGGACCCCUCCCUUCACCAAAAAGCACCCACUGAGCACCUCCCAUCUCCCCGCCACGCCCUGCUUCCAGCCCCCAAUGAACCUUCUCAGAAGCCUGCCUUGCCAUCUCCCUCCCCCCUUAGCCAGCAUUGCCAAGCCUGCCCACGGUGAGGGGGGCGGCUCUGCAGGGCUUUCUUGGAGGGAAGAAGAGGCAGCUAUGCCAAGUGAAGGCCAGGGAAACCCAACUGCUGUGUGUUUGAGGAAAGCCUGGCUGUCUUCUGUGACAGUGGGUGCCAGGAACACAAGAGAUCAAGUGCCCCCAGAGGAGAUGCCAGGGGUCUACAGGUUUCAUUAUGAUGUUAGGCAAUGGCUCCCAGACCCAUCACCUGCAAGAAAUGGCUGAGUUGGGCACCCUCAGCUCUCCCGGGGAGUCUUAGGCCCUGAGGACUGAGCAAUGCACAUGCGGAUGCAAGCAUCACUCUGGGUUGGUCCUGGAGUUGGAAGAGCCGGGGGUCCUCCCACCCAGACUGACUGGCAUUCCCCUUCUUGGCACCCCGGGAGCAAAGGAGAGGACCAGCCUGACUCCUUUAUGGUUGAAGAAGGGUUUAAUCUCAAUAAGUGACCUAUAUUCCUCCUGGCUUGGAUCAGGGCAGGCAGUAUCUAUCUCAAGAAGACACAAACUCACCAAGGUGGGAGGAUGAGUGGGUGGG